RNAcentral lists this ribosomal RNA (584 nucleotides) under uncultured bacterium. RNAcentral describes it as "bacterial SSU rRNA". It matches the Rfam family "Bacterial small subunit ribosomal RNA", at positions 102 to 672 of the family's 1533-position model. The record is from RNAcentral.
ACGGGUGAGUAACACGUGGGCAACCUGCCCUUGAGACUGGGAUAACUUCGGGAAACCGGAGCUAAUACCGGAUAAUAUAAGGAACCUCCUGGUUCCUUGUUGAAAGAUGGUUUCGGCUAUCACUUAAGGAUGGGCCCGCGGCGCAUUAGCUAGUUGGUGAGGUAACGGCUCACCAAGGCGACGAUGCGUAGCCGACCUGAGAGGGUGAUCGGCCACACUGGGACUGAGACACGGCCCAGACUCCUACGGGAGGCAGCAGUAGGGAAUCUUCCACAAUGGACGAAAGUCUGAUGGAGCAACGCCGCGUGAGUGAUGAAGGCCUUCGGGUCGUAAAGCUCUGUUGUUAGGGAAGAACAAGUGCGAGAGUAACUGCUCGCACCUUGACGGUACCUAACCAGAAAGCCACGGCUAACUACGUGCCAGCAGCCGCGGUAAUACGUAGGUGGCAAGCGUUAUCCGGAAUUAUUGGGCGUAAAGCGCGCGGAGGUGGUUUCUUAAGUCUGAUGUGAAAGCCCACGGCUCAACCGUGGAGGGUCAUUGGAAACUGGGGAACUUGAGUGCAGAAGAGGAAAGUGGAAUUCCAA